RNAcentral lists this transfer RNA (63 nucleotides) under Crepidodera sp. BMNH 846613. RNAcentral's name for it is "tRNA-Glu". The record is from RNAcentral. Lineage: Eukaryota; Metazoa; Arthropoda; Insecta; Coleoptera; Chrysomelidae.
AUUUAUAUAGUUUAAUAAAAACAUUACAUUUUCAUUGUAAAAUUAAAAAAAAAUUUAUAAAUU